RNAcentral lists this ribosomal RNA (149 nucleotides) under Candidatus Omnitrophota bacterium. Its description in RNAcentral is "partial 23S ribosomal RNA". It matches the Rfam family "Bacterial large subunit ribosomal RNA", at positions 2779 to 2925 of the family's 2925-position model. Lineage: Bacteria; Pseudomonadati; Candidatus Omnitrophota. The record is from RNAcentral.
AUAUAAGCGCGAAGCCCCCUCUAAGAUAAGAUAUCCCUCCCCUUCGGGGGAAUAAGACACCUUGUAGAUCACGAGGUUGAUAGGCCGGAGGUGUAAGACCCGUAAGGGUUUCAGCUGACCGGUACUAAUCUGUCGAAUGGCUUGACCAC